AAUAGAUACCCAGGUAGUCCACGCCGUAAACGAUGAGUGCUAAGUGUUAGAGGGUUUCCGCCCUUUAGUGCUGCAGCUAACGCAUUAAGCACUCCGCCUGGGGAGUACGGCCGCAAGGCUGAAACUCAAAGGAAUUGACGGGGGCCCGCACAAGCGGUGGAGCAUGUGGUUUAAUUCGAAGCAACGCGAAGAACCUUACCAGGUCUUGACAUCCUCUGCCAACCCUAGAGAUAGGGCGUUCCCCUUCGGGGGACAGAGUGACAGGUGGUGCAUGGUUGUCGUCAGCUCGUGUCGUGAGAUGUUGGGUUAAGUCCCGCAACGAGCGCAACCCUUGAUCUUAGUUGCCAGCAUUCAGUUGGGCACUCUAAGGUGACUGCCGGUGACAAACCGGAGGAAGGUGGGGAUGACGUCAAAUCAUCAUGCCCCUUAUGACUUGGGCUACACACGUGCUACAAUGGAUGGUACAAAGAGCUGCGAACCCGCGAGGGUAAGCGAAUCUCAUAAAGCCAUUCUCAGUUCGGAUUGU
RNAcentral lists this ribosomal RNA (526 nucleotides) under uncultured bacterium. RNAcentral's name for it is "bacterial SSU rRNA". It matches the Rfam family "Bacterial small subunit ribosomal RNA", at positions 777 to 1301 of the family's 1533-position model. The record is from RNAcentral.